GACGAACGCUGGCGGCGUGCUUAACACAUGCAAGUCGAACGGAAAGGCCCUGCUUUUGUGGGGUGCUCGAGUGGCGAACGGGUGAGUAACACGUGAGUAACCUGCCCUUGUCUUUGGGAUAACUUCAGGAAACUGGGGCUAAUACCGGAUAGGAGCUCCUGCUGCAUGGUGGGGGUUGGAACGUUUCGGCGGUUGGGGAUGGACUCGCGGCUUAUCAGCUUGUUGGUGGGGUAGUGGCUUACCAAGGCUUUGACGGGUAGCCGGCCUGAGAGGGUGACCGGCCACAUUGGGACUGAGAUACGGCCCAGACUCCUACGGGAGGCAGCAGUGGGGAAUAUUGCACAAUGGGCGGAAGCCUGAUGCAGCAACGCCGCGUGCGGGAUGACGGCCUUCGGGUUGUAAACCGAUUUCGCCUGUGACGAAGCGUGAGUGACGGUAAUGGGUAAAGAAGCACCGGCUAACUACGUG
This 468-nucleotide ribosomal RNA is filed under the name uncultured bacterium. Its description in RNAcentral is "partial 16S ribosomal RNA". It matches the Rfam family "Bacterial small subunit ribosomal RNA", at positions 28 to 507 of the family's 1533-position model. The record is from RNAcentral.